CAUUAUGAAGCUAACUAGCGUUAACCUUUUAAGUUAAAGAUUGAAGGCUCAAACCCCUCCAUAAUGA
This 67-nucleotide transfer RNA is filed under the name Ochotona koslowi (Kozlov's pika). RNAcentral's name for it is "tRNA-Lys". It matches the Rfam family "tRNA". From Rfam's summary of the family: Transfer RNA (tRNA) molecules are approximately 80 nucleotides in length. Their secondary structure includes four short double-helical elements and three loops (D, anti-codon, and T loops). Further hydrogen bonds mediate the characteristic L-shaped molecular structure. tRNAs have two regions of fundamental functional importance: the anti-codon, which is responsible for specific mRNA codon recognition, and the 3' end, to which the tRNAs corresponding amino acid is attached (by aminoacyl-tRNA synthetases). tRNAs cope with the degeneracy of the genetic code in two manners: having more than one tRNA (with a specific anti-codon) for a particular amino acid; and 'wobble' base-pairing, i.e. permitting non-standard base-pairing at the 3rd anti-codon position. RNAcentral also lists the same sequence under 1 other name. Lineage: Eukaryota; Metazoa; Chordata; Mammalia; Lagomorpha; Ochotonidae. The record is from RNAcentral.